GGGUCAGUAGGUUGGUCGUGCCACCGGUACGUACUGGUCUCACUGAUUCCUCCUUCCUGAAGAACCGUAAUGCCAUUAAUUUGGUGUUGCGGGGAAACAGGACUGUUACUUUGAAAAAAUUAGAGUGUUUAAAGCAGGCUAACGCUUGAAUACAUUAGCAUGGAAUAAUGAAAUAGGACGAUCGAUCCUGUUUUGUUGGUUUCUAGGAUUGACGUA
Molecule: ribosomal RNA, 216 nt
Filed under: Glomeromycotina sp.
Lineage: Eukaryota; Fungi; Glomeromycota
Description: partial small subunit ribosomal RNA
Rfam family: Eukaryotic small subunit ribosomal RNA (bases 40-216)
Source: RNAcentral